AGAAAGGGGUUUUGAUAUUUUCCCCAAAGUAGACGCAAGUAUGCAGAAAAUUAAAAAGGGGCUUUUGAAACCCCAUCCCACCGCCACCCUUCUAGGAAAGAACUCUACUACUGAACUACACCCCCAGCCCUUGAGUUAUUUCUUCAGGCACAAUUCUGACUUACCAGUAAAGAUUUACACAGUGAUUCAACUGUGCAGCCAAACCACCCAAGGUGAUGCAUACCUAUAAUCUCAGAAGUCAACUAGAGGCCAGAUAUGGUGGCAUAUGCCUGUAGUCCCAGCACUCUGGAAAGCUGAAGCAG
Molecule: long non-coding RNA, 302 nt
Filed under: Heterocephalus glaber (naked mole-rat)
Lineage: Eukaryota; Metazoa; Chordata; Mammalia; Rodentia; Bathyergidae
Description: lncRNA (ENSHGLG00000031908.1)
Source: RNAcentral